RNAcentral lists this ribosomal RNA (494 nucleotides) under uncultured bacterium. Its description in RNAcentral is "partial 16S ribosomal RNA". It matches the Rfam family "Bacterial small subunit ribosomal RNA", at positions 28 to 507 of the family's 1533-position model. The record is from RNAcentral.
GACGAACGCUGGCGGCGCGCUUAACACAUGCAAGUCGAACGGAAAGGCCUGCUUUCCCUUGUGGAUUGCGGGUACUCGAGUGGCGAACGGGUGAGUAACACGUGAGUGAUCUGCCCCCAACUUGGGUAUAAGCCUGGGAAACUGGGUCUAAUUCCCGAUAGGACUGCAGGGUGGUGCCUGUGGUGGAAAACGAUUUUCUAGUGGUUGGGGAUGAGCUCGCGGCCUAUCAGCUUGUUGGUGGGGUAAUGGCCUACCAAGGCGGCGACGGGUAGCCGGCGUGAGAGGGUGGACGGCGACAUUGGGACUGAGAUACGGCCCAGACUCCUACGGGAGGCAGCAGUGGGGAAUAUUGCACAAUGAGCGGAAGCCUGAUGCAGCGACGCCGCGUGGGGGAUGACGGCCUUCGGGUUGUAAACUCCUUUCGACCGCGAGGAAGCCACCUGGUUGGAAGGGUGGUGACGGUAGUGUUAGAAGAAGCACCGGCUAACUAUGUG